GGCUCCAUAAACGGUGCGUCUGACUCGCGAGUCAUCUGUGUACGUGUUGACUCGUCUUCCGACUACACACAUUUGACGUUGAUGUUGUUCUUGU
Long non-coding RNA from Rhagoletis zephyria (snowberry fruit fly), 94 nucleotides. RefSeq lists it as uncharacterized. NCBI's taxonomy places the organism in Eukaryota, Metazoa, Arthropoda, Insecta, Diptera, Tephritidae. The record is from RefSeq and is a predicted model, not a curated record.